RNAcentral lists this long non-coding RNA (550 nucleotides) under Jatropha curcas. Its description in RNAcentral is "long non-coding RNA (JCUR_LNC000080)". The record is from RNAcentral. Lineage: Eukaryota; Viridiplantae; Streptophyta; Magnoliopsida; Malpighiales; Euphorbiaceae.
UUUUAAAUUUUAUUUUAUUUUUGUCUUUUAUUUUCUGGGUUUUGUGUUCUCUUAUCGUUUUGGAUAUUGAUGUCUAAGAUAAAGACCAUAGGUCCCUUACUCAAAUUCUUUUGCACAUUUGAAUUUUUGAGAUAUAUGGUGACUAUCCAAGAGAGAAACUAGAUCCUCUACACUAUCAAUCUGAUAAAGAAGAGAGGAGGCUCUCUUGUAGAAGAGAGUCUGCCUGAUAUAAACAAUACCAGCAACAACACCAACAAUAGAGAAGAACGUCAUUUUUGGAUUUCUAUAUUUGGAUUUUUAUAUUCAGGUUUUUUUUUUUUUGAAUUCCUUUUGGUGUUAAUAUACUAGAUUGCUAAAUAGAGUAUAGGGAUUUAUGUUUUUUUUUUUUUUUUUUUUUUUUGCCUUUUCAAUCUUUUAGGUAUUUUUUCUCCAUUGGUGGGUGUUUAGGUUUUUAUAUGGCACUCUCUCUAUGUACAACAAGGGAAAAAAAUAAUUAUGUAAUUUGUCUCUUAUAUACUUUUAUUUCUGUGGUGUUGCUAUUCGAGGAAGA